This 433-nucleotide ribosomal RNA is filed under the name uncultured bacterium. RNAcentral's name for it is "partial 16S ribosomal RNA". It matches the Rfam family "Bacterial small subunit ribosomal RNA", at positions 29 to 507 of the family's 1533-position model. The record is from RNAcentral.
AACGAACGCUGGCGGCAUGCCUAACACAUGCAAGUCGAACGAGACCUUCGGGUCUAGUGGCGCACGGGUGCGUAACGCGUGGGAACCUGCCCUUAGGUUCGGAAUAACUCCCCGAAAGGGGUGCUAAUACCGGAUAAUGUCUUCGGACCAAAGAUUUAUCGCCUUUGGAAGGGCCCGCGUUGGAUUAGCUAGUUGGUAGGGUAAAAGCCUACCAAGGCGACGAUCCAUAGCUGGUCUGAGAGGAUGAUCAGCCACACUGGGACUGAGACACGGCCCAGACUCCUACGGGAGGCAGCAGUGGGGAAUAUUGGACAAUGGGAGAAAGCCUGAUCCAGCAAUGCCGCGUGAGUGAUGAAGGCCUUAGGGUUGUAAAGCUCUUUUACCCGGGAUGAUAAUGACAGUACCGGGAGAAUAAGCUCCGGCUAACUCCGUG